This is a long non-coding RNA of Triticum dicoccoides, 1579 nucleotides long. RefSeq lists it as uncharacterized. The transcript has 6 exons. The record is from RefSeq and is a predicted model, not a curated record. Lineage: Eukaryota; Viridiplantae; Streptophyta; Magnoliopsida; Poales; Poaceae.
CGAUACCUCCUUCAGGAAUGUGUACGUGUUCCUGACGUGGAUGGUCAACCGAGGCGAAAGAUCGUUACGUUCCUGACACGAUCCACUUUUCCCCAUCGAGAUACUCCUCCCACUCCCACGAUGACCGCCACCUCCCCCAUCCAGCGCCGCCACCUCCCCCGUCCAGCACCGCCACUUCCCCCGUACCGGCCGUCCAGUUCCGAUCGGCCGCCUCCCUCGCCGUCGAGCGCCGCCCCCCUCGCCGUCGAGCGCCACUCCGACUCGCCGGCGACUUCCAGAUCCGCCUCCCUGGCCGGCGAUUUCCAGAUCCGCCUCCCUCCCCGUGCAGAGAUCUGUAACUAUGGAAGGAAGACCAUGGGGAGGGGGUCAAGUAACUAUGGAAGGAUGACCAUGGGGAGGGAUUGCUCCUUGUAAGCAGCAAGAGCCUUUUUGCAGCACAAUUUAAACUUUCUACCUCCUCCAACGACGAUGCUGCUCUUCCCCAACGACAGCUUGCUGCUGAACUCUGUCAACACCCGCUGCUGAUCGUCUCUUGCAUCUACAUGUUGCUGUUCUUCUCCAUCUUCAAAGCCACGUCUUAGACUGCUGCAACACCAAGCUCCAGAAGCCAAAUUUAUGUUCUGUACUCCAUUAUUUCACCUCUUCCCUCGCUGAUUUCUUGAACCCCUUGCUUGUUCAGUUAGUGAGAUGUGUGUUCCUGUAUGCUGCCAAUUGAGAUGAUCUAGUUCUAGUUUUAUCACCUUAGUAUUUCAAUUAUUUGCUCGUUUGCAUGACUGAAGAUCUGAUGCUAUGUUAGAUUUAAAUUUCUUGUUCAACUUCAGAGAAAAUAUUAGUGUCCUAUUGAUUGUGUUCCAGCAUGAACUCGUUCUGAACCUCACCUACUGCUGUUUUAUUCUAUUUUGAGUUUUGUCCGAGUUUUGAGUGUGGGUUGUUUGUGAGAAGAGCAUCUUCUCUUAUGUAGGAAAAGCAGAAUGGCCUAUGGCAGCAACAAAGAUGAACACUUGCAAGUUCAUGAAGUUGGAAGUUUGCAAAUGUGGUUGAGAGUGGAGAUUGUGGCCCCAUCAAUAAUGUAAUGUUCAAAAGUGUCUUGUACUUGGGGCCACCGUUCUCCUCACCAGACCCUUGGGUGGGCGAAGGCCCUCAAGCACCUCCACUUGAACUUCUGCCUGUACUUGGCAAUAAGAGAAGUCUUCUUCACUUGCUUGGUGGCAGUUUUGAAAACCUGUGAAUGGAACCUUCCAAGCCCAAGGGAAUGCUGAUACUCCGUUGGCAGAAUGUUCCCAUGAUGAAGACCAUCCUCAUGCUACUCAUGCGGAUGAGCAUAGUUCUAUUCCAACACAGGACAAACAUUUAGGAAUUCCAGUAGUAUAACUAGUGGUUAAUAUUGUGAACUACAGUGCAGGUAGGGUUUCUUUGUCAAUUGCUUCUCCUGGCAAUUUAGGAAUCAACUAGUAUGCGUGUUUUGACUUGGUGACACCUCCUGUUAAGUUGAGCUUCCAUGAAUCAUGACUUGGAUAUGAAUGUGUGGAUCUUGUGAACAAUGAGAUUUAAAUAAAUUGGAUGGGUACAUUGUGGCCUA